ACUGCCCGGGCUAACUGCGGUCACUUCUCACAAUUCCCUGCCUGCGACAGCCCCGGGGGCCGCGGAGGAGCGAGCAAGACCUGGAGGCGCUGAGUGCGUGCCCAGGCGCCCCUCGGCGGGGCGCACUCACCUGGCAGCUGGCUCGGCGGCGCACGGGCGGCAAGCGCUCUCGGAAGUGGCGGCUGGGUGCGCCCAGCCUGCGCGCCGUUUUGUUCCGCUCCGGGGAAGGCGUGUCCCGGGCCACGCCAACCAGUGGGCUUUGCACACUGCACCACUCCAGGGCUGAUGUCAUGGCGCGAAGCCCGGCGGUGCUGCCCUCCCAGGCCCCAGGACGGCCCGGUCGGCAGGGGCGGGGGCAGGAGUCGCCGACUCUGGGGGUGCCCAGCGCUUGUGCUGCGGUCCCACUGUGCGCCCUGUCGCCGCCACCGCGGAAAACGUCUUGCACGUGCGAGGGACAUUUCAGGAGUUUCCUGUCGGUCAGAGAAGCCAAAAAUGUCCUAGGACACUAGUCAGAGAAAAAGGCCUUUGAAAACCGUGGAAGCUGUUUUGCAACUCAGGACCCUCUCUUCUCCACUGGUAGGUGUUCUCUCCCCAAGAUCCCUUUCCCUAUCCUUCACGCAUCCAGACAGAGAAAGCUUGUAUUGAGCACCCACUAUGUGCCAAGCAUUGGGCUAGGUGCCGAGAGAUAUGAAUGGAGACUUUACAAGGAGGGGAGAGAUCAAGUGUGCACCCAGAUGUGGGAGAGGAGACCGGGACAGGAAGAGCACCGUGAGUUCAGACAGGGAGAGAACUCCGUUGUGGGGAUUAGCAAAGGCUUACAUGGGAGGUGACAGGCUAAUGAGCUGGGCCAUAAAGGGCAGUUAGACUCAUAAUGUAUGGAGAUGGACAGCAUUCUGGUUACCUGUUGCUGGGCAACAAACCACCCCAAACUUGGCAGUGUAACAGAGCAGUCAUUUGUUUUUCUCUCUUCUAGGGUUUUACCAAGCUCAGCUGAUUGUUCUUGCUGGGAUUUCUCCUGUGAUUACAGUCAGAUGAGAGCUGGCUGGAUUCUUCACAGAGUCUGCCUUACUCCUGUGGCUGUAGGCUGAGGCUGGCUGUCAGCUGGGACCUCAGCUGAGGCUGUUAGCCAGAAUCCCUACAUGUGGUCUCUCCAUGGGGCCUGGACUCUCUCACAGCAUGGUGGCUGGUUGCAAGGACAAGCAUCUCAAGAGACAGCAGGAGAAAGUUGUCUCACCUUUUGAAAACUGGCCUCGCAAGGCCCAUAGCAGAUCCUCCCCUGUGCUCCACUAGUUGAGACAGUCACGAAGCCCCACCCAGUUUCAAAGAAGGGGACAGAGACGCCAUUUCCUGAUAUGUGAGUGGCAAGGUUCUGGAAGAGCAUGUGGAAUGGAAAGCGUUUGGGGAAAAUACAACUUGCUGCUGUCAGGAAGGUCAUUUCAGGCAGAUAUCUUCAUUGAUGGUACCUUCGGAAACGUAUUUUUAGGAAAGAAAGCAGUUUUUACAGACUUGGCAUUGCUAAGGGAAACAUAAGGUUUUAGAAGUAUUUACUGAGCCAUCUUCACUAAGAGAAGAUGCUAAGGAAGAAGGAGAUGCCUUUUGAAGUAGACUGCAAGGGGGAAACAGGAGGCUGGGAUGGAUGGCAGCUCACAGCUGGCAAAGGCAGUGGACUAGCAAUGAAGGAUGAAAGCCUACCAAGACUGAUUCUUAGAGGGGGAAGAAUUGACUUUGUGUUCUUAUAGCAAGUGGCCAGGAAUAACCAGAGGCCAUGUCCAAGCUGAGACCUCAAAAACAGUAGUAGGCAGGGGCCAAACCAGAAAGCAACAGCUAACAAAAACUGUAUUGCAGCAAGAGAGAUAAGAUAAGCACACAAGUGUAACCACCCAACGGGUUCACAUUGCCUGCUGCCUAGACAGAGCCGACUUAUCAAGACAGGAGAAUAGCAAUGGAGAAAGAGUAAUUCACACAGACCCGGCUGUGCAGGAGACCGGAGUUUUAUUAUUACUCAAAUCAGUCUCUCUGAGCAUUUGGGGAUCAGAGUUUUAAUUUGGCAAGUAGGAGCUUGGGAAGUGGGGAGUGCUAAUUGCUCAGCUUGAAGAUGGAAUCAUAGAGGGUUGAAGUGAAGGAGUGGUCUGCCCCUCCACACCUGUGGGCAUUUCUCAUCAGGUGGAACGAGAGACUUAAGAAAAGAAAGAGACACAGAGACAAAGUAAGUGGGCCCAGGGGACCUGCGCUCAGCAUACAGAGGACUCACGCUGGCACCAGUCUCUGAGUUCCCUCAGUAUUUAUUGAUCAUUAUCUUACCAUCUUGGAAAAGGGGAAGUGGCAGGACAAUAGGGUCAUAGUAGGGAGAAGGUCUGCAGAGAGACAUAUGAAUAAAGAUCUCUGUGACAUGAAUCA
This 2397-nucleotide long non-coding RNA is filed under the name Piliocolobus tephrosceles (Ugandan red Colobus). Its description in RNAcentral is "lncRNA (ENSPTEG00000026976.1)". Lineage: Eukaryota; Metazoa; Chordata; Mammalia; Primates; Cercopithecidae. The record is from RNAcentral.